UACAGAGGUCUCAAGCGUUGUUCGGAUUCAUUGGGCGUAAAGGGUGCGUAGGCGGUGUCGUAAGUCGGAUGUGAAAUCCCGGGGCUUAACUUCGGAACUGCAUUCGAUACUGCGAUACUCGAGGACUCGAGAGGAGAUUGGAAUUCACGGUGUAGCAGUGAAAUGCGUAGAUAUCGUGAGGAAGACCAGUGGCGAAGGCGGAUCUCUGGAGAGUUCCUGACGCUGAGGCACGAAGGCCAGGGGAGCAAACGGG
Molecule: ribosomal RNA, 253 nt
Filed under: uncultured bacterium
Lineage: Bacteria
Description: partial 16S ribosomal RNA
Rfam family: Bacterial small subunit ribosomal RNA
Source: RNAcentral